AGACAUCUCCUGUACGUGGAAAGAACUUCGGUCAAGGAUGGACUCGCGGCCUAUCAGGUAGUUGGUGAGGUAACGGCUCACCAAGCCUACGACGGGUAGCCGGCCUGAGAGGGUGACCGGCCACACUGGGACUGAGACACGGCCCAGACUCCUACGGGAGGCAGCAGUGGGGAAUAUUGCACAAUGGGCGCAAGCCUGAUGCAGCAACGCCGCGUGAGGGAUGACGGCCUUCGGGUUGUAAACCUCUUUUAGUAGGGAAGAAGCGAAAGUGACGGUACCUGCAGAAAAAGCACCGGCUAACUACGUGCCAGCAGCCGCGGUAAUACGUAGGGUGCGAGCGUUGUCCGGAAUUAUUGGGCGUAAAGAGCUCGUAGGCGGUCUGUCGCGUCUGCUGUGAAAACCCGAGGCUCAACCUCGGGCCUGCAGUGGGUACGGGCAGACUAGAGUGCGGUAGGGGAGAAUGGAAUUCCUGGUGUAGCGGUGGAAUGCGCAGAUAUCAGGAGGAACACCGAUGGCGAAGGCAGUUCUCUGGGCCGUAACUGACGCUGAGGAGCGAAAGCGUGGGAGCGAACAGGAUUAGAUACCCUGGGUAGUCCACGCCGUAAACGUUGGGCGCUAGAUGUGGGGACCAUUCCACGGUUUCCGUGUCGCA
This 652-nucleotide ribosomal RNA is filed under the name Leifsonia sp. RNAcentral's name for it is "bacterial SSU rRNA". It matches the Rfam family "Bacterial small subunit ribosomal RNA", at positions 186 to 850 of the family's 1533-position model. The record is from RNAcentral. Lineage: Bacteria; Bacillati; Actinomycetota; Actinomycetes; Micrococcales; Microbacteriaceae.